This 400-nucleotide ribosomal RNA is filed under the name uncultured bacterium. RNAcentral's name for it is "bacterial SSU rRNA". It matches the Rfam family "Bacterial small subunit ribosomal RNA", at positions 355 to 747 of the family's 1533-position model. The record is from RNAcentral.
UGGGGAAUUUUGGACAAUGGGGGGAACCCUGAUCCAGCAACGCCGCGUGAAUGAAGAAGGCCUUAGGGUUGUAAAGUUCUUUUGUCGCAGAGCAAAGUACAUUGGCUAAUACCUAAUGUAGCUGAGAGUAUGCGAAGAAUAAGCACCGGCUAACUACGUGCCAGCAGCCGCGGUAAUACGUAGGGUGCGAGCGUUAAUCGGAAUAACUGGGCGUAAAGGGUGCGUAGGCGGAUAGAUAAGUUAGAAGUGAAAUACCUGAGCUUAACUUGGGAAUAGCUUUUAAAACUGUAGAUCUAGAGUUAGUCAGAGGGGGGUGGAAUUCCAAGUGUAGCAGUGAAAUGCGUAGAGAUUUGGAGGAACACCGAUGGCGAAGGCAGCCCCCUGGGAUUAAACUGACGCU